CAAGAGGGAUGAGUUUUGUCACAAGACCAAACACUUCCUCUAAUCUGAAGGAAUGAUCAUUCAGAACAUGUCAUUCAAGGUGAAAGGGAAGACCGGUGUCACUCAUAGUUGCUGGUGUAAUUAUCUUUAUUUAUAUGGGCUUUUUAUAAUUUUCUACUUGAAUUAAGGAAUUUGAGGAAAAAUAAAAUAGCUAACACCCACGCUAAGUAUUCCUUUCCAUGUGUGAGUAUGUUCCCUAGAUAUUUUUCUUGGAAAAGAUAUCAAGUUCAAUAAAAAGAAUGCUGAGAGGGCAGAAUGUGAUCUGGGUUGUAAAUUAACAGCUCAUACUAGUAAAUGAUGAAGAUCAUUCAUUAAUGAGCUAACUACAAUGGGCCAAAAAAAUGUGUUUUACUUCUUCCAAGUCAUUUGAUGAAAAUAUUACAGCCUAAUUAAGUGUAGCCUGAGAAAGAAUAUUCUCUUAAAUUUUUUUACUUGAUUCUUCAAUAACUGAAGUGCACUAGUUUCCAGGGGUUAUAAAAUCCGUCCUUCAUGCUCUUGCUAUUAACAGUUUUGUACUUGCAACUACAAGUUACUAAAAAUAUUGAAGGAAUUAGCAUAGGGUUACCACAGGCGCUCAGAGCUGAAACCCUAUGCUCAGAAAUUGUUGUCGGUUUUGAAAUCGCCCCGCAUCGCUGAGUCAGUUGUUCAUGUGCAUGUCUGCUGGGAGCAAUGAUCAUAUUGUGCCAGAUUUAACAGGUGUUGUCCCCAUAUUUCCAAAUGGGGAGGGACGCUCUCUAAAAAUAUCUUUCUUCCUUAUUCACACAGGCACCAUGUUAUGCUCAGGAUGAAUGCAUUACUACCAACGGUAGGGAGUAGAAGUACUUGCUUGUCUUUUGCACCAUCCCUUGCUCCAAAAACAGGCUCUUUCUCACGAUUUCUGCUCAAGCCAUUACCACCUUCUCAGAUGACCUCCCUAUCAUUGACAGCAAUCUGAAUCAUGGUUAAAAGUGACAUGGCAAGAAAAUGUCUCGCUUCGGAUGGGGAUGCUUCAGGCUACACCUCAACUCUCUGCAGAUCAAGUUCAC
Molecule: non-coding RNA, 1064 nt
Organism: Sus scrofa (pig)
Lineage: Eukaryota; Metazoa; Chordata; Mammalia; Artiodactyla; Suidae
Source: RefSeq, a predicted model, not a curated record